GGGGAUUUGGCUCAGUGGUAGAGUGUUUGUCUAGCAAGCGCAAGGUCCUGGGUUCGGUCCCCAGCUCCG
Rattus norvegicus (Norway rat) is the source of this 69-nucleotide non-coding RNA. NCBI's taxonomy places the organism in Eukaryota, Metazoa, Chordata, Mammalia, Rodentia, Muridae. The record is from Rfam.